GUGGGGAAUAUUGGACAAUGGGCGAAAGCCUGAUCCAGCAAUGCCGCGUGAGUGAUGAAGGCCCUAGGGUUGUAAAGCUCUUUUACCCGGGAAGAUAAUGACUGUACCGGGAGAAUAAGCCCCGGCUAACUCCGUGCCAGCAGCCGCGGUAAUACGGAGGGGGCUAGCGUUGUUCGGAAUUACUGGGCGUAAAGCGCACGUAGGCGGCUUUGUAAGUCAGGGGUGAAAUCCCGGGGCUCAACCCCGGAACUGCCCUUGAGACUGCAAGGCUCGAAUCCAGGAGAGGUGAGUGGAAUUCCGAGUGUAGAGGUGAAAUUCGUAGAUAUUCGGAAGAACACCAGUGGCGAAGGCGGCUCACUGGACUGGUAUUGACGCUGAGGUGCGAAAGCGUGGGGAGCAAACAGGAUUAGAAACCCGAGUAGUCC
RNAcentral lists this ribosomal RNA (425 nucleotides) under uncultured bacterium. RNAcentral describes it as "bacterial SSU rRNA". It matches the Rfam family "Bacterial small subunit ribosomal RNA", at positions 354 to 796 of the family's 1533-position model. The record is from RNAcentral.